Engraulis encrasicolus (European anchovy) is the source of this 1303-nucleotide long non-coding RNA. RefSeq lists it as uncharacterized. NCBI's taxonomy places the organism in Eukaryota, Metazoa, Chordata, Actinopteri, Clupeiformes, Engraulidae. The transcript is spliced from 3 exons. The record is from RefSeq and is a predicted model, not a curated record.
UUUGCUUGCUUGGCUAGCGUCGUAGCUCGUCUACUGCAUAACUGUUUGAUUAUGCGGAUGAAGGCUGCGUGGAAAACGGUUUAUUCACCUGUCGUUGUGUUCCAAAAUCAUAAGGCUUUAAUGCGGAGGGUUAUAGUUAGCCAAUUUCUCUCUUUCACGAGCAGGGAUUUGUUGCUUUGUUGACACUACAGGGAAGUUUACUGGUUUAAAGAAAGUUGUGGCUAGAGCAUAGGCAAUAAGGCAACAGCUACUACAAGUAUGCAUGAUAGCUGAUAUCAGCCGCAAAUCGUGCGUGUGUAGUAGUUCCAGAGACCGUUUAGUUCUAGUGUGACUGUGUGAUAUUGUACUCUGUAGUAUGUGCAGCAUUUCCGAAGACUGGUUGGUUUAUAUUUUUAUUAAUGUAAAUGAAAUAUGUAAAGUUGUUGUGUGCACUACAGUAGUGAGACAAAAGCCUUUCAUACAUUUAGUUAAGGUUGCCUGUAUGUUUUGAAGGUGUGUCUGGAAAGCCCUGUAACGUUUUGUCUUUAAAAAAAAAAAAAAAUCUCUUCUGCUCUGGAUAAGAUGGAUGUCUUUCCUCUGACCUGUUACCAAGACAGCUGGAUGUGUAGGAAGCUGGAACUAAGUCACUGAAGAAGUAAACCUAUGAAAACCGAUUUGGAUUGUCUGAGAGAUGUAAUUGACUGAGUUCAGGACAAAUGUGUCAACUAUAUUGUAGGCCUAUUACUUAAACAAUAAAAUCACAAUAACUGUUUAUUUUUUGGCUGUAGGACACAAGUAAAAGGAGAAGAAUGCUGCUCAGCUGGGUCGGUGAAGCUCUUGGAUAUCAUCAGCAUCUAUGAAGGCACCGGUAGGCACAGAGUCAUUCCGGUAGGCACGGAGUCGUUCCUCGAUGGACGUGAUGACCUGGCACCAAAACCGCUUAAUGUGUAUGAAGCUGUCUGCAUCGAGGGAAGAACCCAGUACUGAAAUGACACAAGUAAAAGGAGAAGAAUGCUGCUCAGCUGGGUCGGCGGUCACACUACUUAUUCAAGAAGCUCUUGGAUAUCAUUGGCAUGUAUGCAGUAAGUUUUUUAUAUCAAUGCACAACAGCAGGCGUUAAUGCACACACACACACACACACACACACACACACACACACACACACACACACACACACACACAAUGAGAGCUGGCCUGAUAUUGUUCUUUGAUUCUGUGAAUGUGUAUGGAAUGCCUACUGUCUGGUGUCAAUUCAGACAAUUUUGCAACGGUUUACUGUAUGUUCUGUCUAUUUGUCUGCCAAACUCUCAAACUUGUUGUCUUU